This 440-nucleotide long non-coding RNA is filed under the name Callithrix jacchus (white-tufted-ear marmoset). RNAcentral describes it as "lncRNA (ENSCJAG00000076564.1)". Lineage: Eukaryota; Metazoa; Chordata; Mammalia; Primates; Cebidae. The record is from RNAcentral.
CUCUUUCCUGGCCCAGUCAGUCACCCCAAAGAAAAGCCACCUUUAUUUGGGCUUUGUGCCUCCUGCUCCUGGGUGGGAGGAAGAAGAAGGCAGAGAGCUAAAGAGCCAUGAAUAGAGAAGCGGGUGCAACGGAGGGUCUGGACAUUCUGCAGGUUCCUGGAUCCUCGGCCUGGAGCUCAGGCAGGGUAGCUCUGGGGCAGAAACAUACAACCCCAGCUGGUAACGUUCUGUCCUCUCUGGGCCCCCAGCCACUGGCUGGAGUGUGGGCUGACCUCUUCCCUUUCACAGAGGUGUGUCCAGAACCCUUGAAGAAAGCAACAGGUCAAGGGGGUAAAGCCGUGCUGGAAAGGAGGCCCUUCCUCACAGGAGACACAUCAGCCCCACCUCACCUGGAAGAAGGUCCACAGGAAAACAAGGUCCUUGAGGAAUUGCCACACUGU